This 341-nucleotide ribosomal RNA is filed under the name Drosophila erecta. Its description in RNAcentral is "28S ribosomal RNA, D2 domain". Lineage: Eukaryota; Metazoa; Arthropoda; Insecta; Diptera; Drosophilidae. The record is from RNAcentral.
CCCGAAGUAUCCUGAAUCUUUCGCAUUGUUAAUCAUACAAGUGCAUAUAAUAAACACAAAAAUCAAUGAUAAUUAUGCCAUUAUAUAAUUCCGAAAAAUUAACGCACUGUAAUCAUAUUAAUCUAUCAGCACUUUAUCAAAUUAAUAACAUUUAUUCUGUGUUAAAAUGCAAGCAAUUUAAUUGGAAUAAACUAUAAGUUAUAUUUUAUGAUAAAUUUGGUAUAUGCUAAUAGAUUACAAUGUCCUUAUAUGGAAAAAAUGCACACUAUCCUCAUAAUAUUAUUUAAAUAUUACAAUUUUAAUGAUGAAUUUUCCAUAACGGAUAUUCAGGUUCAUCGGGC